Ziziphus jujuba (common jujube) is the source of this 810-nucleotide long non-coding RNA. RefSeq lists it as uncharacterized. The transcript has 5 exons. NCBI's taxonomy places the organism in Eukaryota, Viridiplantae, Streptophyta, Magnoliopsida, Rosales, Rhamnaceae. The record is from RefSeq and is a predicted model, not a curated record.
CCCACCAACCACAUUUCGCAUCCAAUUUCUCUCCCCCCCUCUCUCUCUCUCUUUCUCUAUUUCUUAUCUGUUUUUGUGUUAUUUUAUUUUAUAUUUUUUUUUUGCUCCAUUCCAUUUCCUUUUCCUUCUUCUCCACAUGAUUCUUUUCCCUCUCACUCUCUCUUUCUCUAGGAUCAUUUCCCCUCUUACAAUAGGAGCUCUUAAAUUCUGCCAGCAACUUUUUCCCUCUCUCGGCGACCUUUCUUUCUCAUCUUCGUGGCUUCGGUUAUCUACAGAACUUAUUAGUAGGGCAAACGGUGAUCGGAACCCAUGCCAUGUGAACACAACCCCUUUUUGCAAUCUUCCCUCAAACCUAUCCUCACCUACGGUACGUGUUCUUAGGGAAGAUAACAAACCAAACACAGCCGGAGAAAGAUGGGCGCAUGACUUCACAGGUCUUCAAAAGGACAGGCAAUACAGUUAAAACCUCCAUACCUUAUGCCCUUUUUUCGCAUGUUUGGAUAUGGAGGACCUAUUGCAUCUAUGCCUUUAGGCAUGAUCUUGUUUCUUCGAAGACAAAGAAUUCCAAGAAGAAUGCUUGAUGCAAUGUCUUGAAGUAACACAUCAGAAUACAUUUUUCUAACAUGAUUGAAGAAUUAAUCAACAAGGGGCAACAACUUGAUAGAUGAUAAGAAUAAUGCAACAGAAAGAACAAUUUAACAAUCAUUCUAUUUGCAUACUACAUAGAUUGAGUAUGAUACAAAAUUGUAUUCGAAUUUUGUUAACAAUCAUUCUAUUUCCAUAUUUUCAAUCCAAAUCACCACAUUUCAA